This 253-nucleotide ribosomal RNA is filed under the name uncultured bacterium. Its description in RNAcentral is "partial 16S ribosomal RNA". It matches the Rfam family "Bacterial small subunit ribosomal RNA", at positions 524 to 776 of the family's 1533-position model. The record is from RNAcentral.
UACGGAGGGUGCAAGCGUUAUCCGGAUUCACUGGGUUUAAAGGGUGCGUAGGAGGGCAGGUAAGUCAGUGGUGAAAUCUCCAAGCUUAACUUGGAAACUGCCGUUGAUACUAUCUGUCUUGAAUAUUGUGGAGGUGAGCGGAAUAUGUCAUGUAGCGGUGAGAUGCUUAGAUAUGACAUAGAACACCAAUUGCGAAGGCAGCUCACUACACAAUCAUUGACUCUGAGGCACGAAAGCGUGGGGAUCAAACAGG